RNAcentral lists this transfer RNA (76 nucleotides) under Chloroflexota bacterium. Its description in RNAcentral is "Chloroflexi bacterium (anaerobic digester metagenome) tRNA-Arg". It matches the Rfam family "tRNA". Rfam says of the family: Transfer RNA (tRNA) molecules are approximately 80 nucleotides in length. Lineage: Bacteria; Bacillati; Chloroflexota. The record is from RNAcentral.
ACUCCCGUAGCUCAGUGGACAGAGCACUCGCCUCCUAAGCGAGGAGUCGGCAGUUCGAGUCUGCCCGGGAGUGCCA